GCUAAGUCUGUGCCAGCUGCCACGGUAAAUCAGGGGGUGGAGGCGUUAAUUGGAAGUACUGGGCUGAAAUGGCGCGUAGGUGGUUCAGGAAGAUGGGUGUGAAAUCCCCGGGCUUAACCUGGGAACUGCUUUCAUAACUGCUGAGCUAGAGUACGGUAGAGGGUAGUGGAAUUUCCUGUGUAGCGGUGAAAUGCGUAGAUAUAGGAAGGAACACCAGUGGCGAAGGCGACUACCUGGACUGAUACUGACACUGAGGUGCGAAAGCGUGGGGAGCAAACAGGAUUAGAUACCCCUGUAGUC
This 300-nucleotide ribosomal RNA is filed under the name uncultured Desulfurococcus sp. Its description in RNAcentral is "bacterial SSU rRNA". It matches the Rfam family "Bacterial small subunit ribosomal RNA", at positions 496 to 795 of the family's 1533-position model. The record is from RNAcentral. Lineage: Archaea; Thermoproteati; Thermoproteota; Thermoprotei; Desulfurococcales; Desulfurococcaceae.